Molecule: long non-coding RNA, 2304 nt
Filed under: Triticum aestivum (bread wheat)
Lineage: Eukaryota; Viridiplantae; Streptophyta; Magnoliopsida; Poales; Poaceae
Description: long non-coding RNA (TAES_LNC027264)
Source: RNAcentral
GGGUUCCCCGGUCGCUGCGCCGCAUCCCUCCGCUCAAGGCAACCCUCGAUCGCCGGCUCGCUGGAGCACCAAGGCAACCAAUUGAUGCCCUGGUUGUGUGUGACGGAUGCAGUUCUCACGCACAAGCUAGGGUUGGAGCUGUCGGCUCUUCAUCCUGCCCGGCGGAGGCGAGUCUUCCCGUCCCGCAUUGUCGCCUCCCCAUUAUCACAGGUACCUCCACCCCUUCCUCUUUCCCCCUCUUCUCUCCUCUCCCUUCUCACUCCUCCAUCUCUGUUCCCUUCCCCCUCCCACCAUAGUUAUCUGUUCAUCUUGUUGGCACCUGAAGAAGUUGGUGGCAUGGUGAAGCCCCAGAGCAAAAGUUGCAGGAGUCUUUGAAGGAGUUGGAGAAGUCUCUAGCGAUGCAAGUUCGUCUUAAACCUGAUUCCGGAUCCAAUUUCAUGGGUACAAGCAUAUAUUCCAUGAAUUUUCCAUUAGGUUCAGUGGACAAUGUCCUCAACGACACUUGCACACCCUAAACCCUAAAAGAAACAACUAGAUGCCUUGGGUAAUUUUGGCUGCAUCCGCCUUGGUUAGUUGGUUUACAUGUGAAUUCACACGUUUAAAGGGCAUGUGAUGAUUAACUUUAUAAGUAUUUAUCCACGUUCUAAAGGAAUUACAUAGGAUGCAGUAGUGCAGACAUUCAAAGGAGGUGAGAAGUGUACAUAUGCUUUAUGUUAGUUAUAUGCACAGAGCAGCAUAUCAAUAUAGAAGUGUCAUUCAGACAGAGCUCUUUGAAUAUAAUAAGACAAAAGAUCAGUUGCCUGAUUUUUUUAUAAGAAGAUUCUUCUAUAUGUUCAGUUACAUGAUUUUUAAUUUGAUCAUCUUCUUUGAACAAUUUUUGUGCUGAAUAUGAUAUUUCUUUUGAUUUAUAGGUUCACCUGGGUCAUCCUUAAUUUACUCCUCACAUAAUAAUUGUGAGACCUAAUGAGGUACUUCUGAAAAAUGCUACCUCCUCUCUAAUAUCUAUUUGGUUACACAAGUUUAUGCUUGUGUGGUCUGGUUGUUCCUAAUUGCUUUUGGACAUUAUUAUUUGUGUGAUCAACAUUGAGUAGAUUGCCUGCAGCAAUAUAACUUGAGUUUUUUUACUUAAGUAAAUGAUACGUAAGUAGCUCUAAGUUAACAUAAUGUUUGUCUUAUCUUUAUCUUGCAGCAAAUUGAUAUAUGGGAUUUGGGAGUAAAUAGCUACAUCAUCGUUAAGUGAUAUCCCUUGUACAUUUUGAAACAACCAGAAUUUACAUCAGUAUAUUACUUUGAGGCGAAGUGCAGUUCUCAUAUAUUUCAUAAUAGCAUAUAGAUCCAAACAGAAGUUUGUUUGCUACAACAUGAUUAUGUUGCUUCCUUUUUUUCUGAGAUAUGUACAUGUUCUCUCAACAAAAAUGUACAAGGAAAAGUAUUAUCUCCAAAAUAAUCAGGGCUAAGCCAAUAGUUGGAUAUGGCCCAUUUGAUACUGCUACUGCAGAAAUAGAUCCCCCUACACAUCUAGCGUACAGGUAAAUAGUUAAAGAAAAACAUUGCAGGAAGUUGAGAUUGAAAACCUGUACAUGUUGGCUUUAGCUUCAUAUGAACAUUCUUUUGAUGGAUCUUGCAACAGAACGAAAUAAAACAAGAUUACUUAAAUCCUCAGGCAGGAGGAUAAAAUUGCUGUUGGGACUCAGGUGAAAGCUGCGUUGGAGAAGAGUACAUGCAAAAAUAAACAAUCAUGGUGCACUGUAAGUCCUCCCGCUGAUUUCUGAACAAUAAACAAUGAUGAUGCUCUCUUCACUGCAGAUAUUCUAAAAUUAAGGGAGUCACAAUUCUUGACUAGAUCAUAUGGGUACGCUAUAUGAAAAUGUACAAGGUGGUGUAGCAGGAGUUGAAAAAAAUGCAACUCAAAGUGAGUGCAAGUGCAUAAUGUCCUAGAAUUAUUUUUCGGCGAAAGUUAGUAUCUUCUCAAUAAGUAACAGCACUGUAAAUUUCGAGAAGUGGGAAAUCAAAAUCAAUACCUUUCUUAUAAUUUAGGAGGGGCUCAUGUGGAAUUAUGGUUUUUCUUUAGCUCAUGGGAUGCCCAAAUUGUGGGCAAGAUUAAGGCCUACCAGCCCCUUUGUACCAUGCUAUAUUGCUCUUGAGGUUUACUAUUCAUUUGAGCUAAUGAUAUAUGAUCAUGGAAUUAAAGAGGUGGAACACACCGGCCAUGUAUUACUAGCAAAUGACAUCGGCAUCAUGUAUUGGCGAUUUGUUAGUCAAGCAUACUAACAAGUACUGUCAAGAUUUGUUUUUCAUUCUCUA